CGAGGCAGAAGAUGACAUGGGGAGAAUAGCCCUCACCUUCAUCCUUCUCUUCAUCAUCACUCUGAUGUUCACCAUUGCAACCACAGCUUUCAAGGUUAAAUGAAACAAGGAAAACUUUCUGUACAAAACUGUUUUUCACACACUUUUCUUAUAAACUCAUAGUUUGAUGUAAGUAAUCACAGCUGUCCUUUUUUCCAUUCUUAUUACAAGAGCUUUAUGUAAUUUUAAAAAUAAAUGUUUAAAUGAACAUAACCAUUAAUGUUGCUCCUCCAUCUUUGUUCUCUCAUCUGUUAUUCUGAAACUGUUCAUACUGUCUAUAGUUUCACCUGUAAAUGUUUAAUACAUAAUACUCAUAAGAAUACCAUUUCUUAUUUUUAUUUUAACUAUGUAAUAUGUUGUUGUGUUCAUCACCUCCCCAGCACCUGGAAUCAACAGCCCGUGUUCUACUCAAUAUGUAAAUGUGGAGAUUUUACAAUCGCUUUAGCAAAGUCAUGAGAAGCCAUGUAAAAUCGUUGUGAUAACUGAUCUGAGAUAUUUAAAUGUGCACUCUGUUUCUCUUACUGGCAUAAGCGCACCUCACACCUGGUGUCUGCAAUGCACCGUUGCUCUUGGCUCUGUUUCACUUCUGCAUUUUGGUACUUUUUUGGGAUCUGGGUGUUACUCAAUGCUUCCGCUUGCUGCUAGCUGUGAUCACUCUGCCCUGUCAUUCUGCGGCAUCUGUGCAACAGACUUCCAGCCCCAUCGCCUCCAUCUCCACCUGACUUUAUAACACCAGACACUGUAAAAGUACAACUCUGCCAUCUAGCCGAAAUACAGAGACAUUACACUUAGAAUUGUUUACAAAAUCUGAAGGUAUGUAUAGGUGAAGAGAUAAAUUGAGCUCAAAUUUUCAAAAUAUUCCAUGUUCAGCUUUUAGAAUGAGGCAAGUAAAGUAAAAAUAAUCUCUUCUCCGUCUCAGGACUGCGGGUUGUCUCUCCAAACAUCACAUUACACCCUGUGUGGGAAGGUGUAAUCGGGGCCUCACCUGUCAGACUCCUCUGCACCCUAAGUGGCUUCUUUCCAGACCAACUGAGUGUGAUGUGGCAACGGGACAACCAAUCUCUAAACAUUGUGCAAACCCAAAGGAAGCUGCAGAGUGUGAAGGGAGUGGAGAAAACCUUCAGUCUAAGCAGUGAGAUUGAGCCAAAUAUGAAACAGUGGACAGGUGGCUCAAAUUUUACAUGCUGGUCCACUCACAACGGCAGUGAAUUUCAUAAAACAAUAAGUAUUUGUCAAACACAGACAAGCGCCCCUCCUUCAGUUCAUGUGGAGAUUCCCAGCUUCAAGACAGUAAUGGAGUCAACGUCUGAUGUGACGGCAACAUGUUCAGUCCGCACAGUGUUUGAUGCCAACGUGACCUGGCUGAUGGAUGGGCAACCCCCAUCCAGUAACCAAGUGAACCAGGUCACAAAUACAACUCAUUUAAUAAGCACUCUGAAGGUUUCCUCGAGUCGGUGGAAACAACUGAAGCUUCUGAAAUGUAAAGUUGAACAUCGCUGCUUCUCAUCCACUGAGGAGACAAUAAAUGUUGCAGCGCCUGCAGUUACAGCUCCAUCAGUGGAGAUCAGGACUCUCCCAGAUUUGCUGAAGGGAAACAGUUCUGUGCUGGAGUGUGACGUCACACAACUCUCCUCCAGUGACCUCUACAUCACCUUUCAGGCCAACAGUGUUGACAUCUCUGACAAACAGUAUGUUGAUCUUCCUGAAGCCCCAGGCCUCCAUUCAGUCAGUAGACGCUUCACUGUCCCUCCAAACUACUGGAAGAGAGAAACAAGUUUCACCUGCAAAGUGAAUCAAGGUUUCUCCAGCAGCUUCAAGUCAAACCCCACUGGCAAUAUUUUUGUGGACCCAUCAGUGGAGCUCCUUCAGGUCCCCAGUAAAGAGUCAGGACCACAGAGGAUCUUGUGCUCUGGAUGGGGCUUCAACCCUCAAAUUAAAUGGUUUCCUGAGUCUCAGCAAGCAUCUCCAUCAACGAAUGACAUCAGCAUGAGUGCAGAUGGACGUGUGGCAGUAACCAGUCAACUUCACAUCCCUCAGACAGAGUGGAAAACAGGGAAGGUCU
This is a non-coding RNA of Micropterus dolomieu (smallmouth bass), 2101 nucleotides long. The record is from the annotation of a RefSeq genome assembly. NCBI's taxonomy places the organism in Eukaryota, Metazoa, Chordata, Actinopteri, Centrarchiformes, Centrarchidae.